RNAcentral lists this ribosomal RNA (497 nucleotides) under uncultured bacterium. Its description in RNAcentral is "partial 16S ribosomal RNA". It matches the Rfam family "Bacterial small subunit ribosomal RNA", at positions 28 to 507 of the family's 1533-position model. The record is from RNAcentral.
GAUGAACGCUGGCGGCGUGCCUAAUACAUGCAAGUCGAGCGAACAGACGAGGAGCUUGCUCCUCUGACGUUAGCGGCGGACGGGUGAGUAACACGUGGAUAACCUACCUAUAAGACUGGGAUAACUUCGGGAAACCGGAGCUAAUACCGGAUAAUAUAUUGAACCGCAUGGUUCAAUAGUGAAAGACGGUUUUGCUGUCACUUAUAGAUGGAUCCGCGCCGCAUUAGCUAGUUGGUAAGGUAACGGCUUACCAAGGCAACGAUGCGUAGCCGACCUGAGAGAGUGAUCGGCCACACUGGAGCUGAGACACGGUCCAGACUCCUACGGGAGGCAGCAGUAGGGAAUCUUCCGCAAUGGGCGAAAGCCUGACGGAGCAACGCCGCGUGAGUGAUGAAGGUCUUCGGAUCGUAAAACUCUGUUAUUAGGGAAGAACAAAUGUGUAAGUAACUAUGCACGUCUUGACGGUACCUAAUCAGAAAGCCACGGCUAACUACGUG